GAUGAAGAACGCAGCGAAAUGCGAUAAGUAGUGUGAAUUGCAGAAUUCAGUGAAUCAUCGAAUCUUUGAACGCACAUUGCGCCCCUUGGUAUCCCGAGGGGCAUGCCUGUUCGAGCGUCAUUUCACCACUCAAGCCUGGCUUGGUGUUGGGCGACGUCCCCUUUGGGGACGCGCCUCGAAACGCUCGGCGGCGUGGCACCGGCUUUAAGCGUAGCAGAAUCUUUCGCUUUGGAAGUCGGGGCCCCGUCUGCCGGAAGACCUACUCGCAAGGUUGACCUCGGAUCAAGCAGGGAUACCCGCUGAACUUAAGCAUAUCAAUAAGCGGAGGA
RNAcentral lists this unclassified non-coding RNA (329 nucleotides) under soil metagenome. Its description in RNAcentral is "partial contains 5.8S ribosomal RNA, internal transcribed spacer 2, and large subunit ribosomal RNA". The stretch from base 1 to 120 matches the Rfam family "5.8S ribosomal RNA", at positions 35 to 154 of the family's 154-position model. The record is from RNAcentral.